Molecule: ribosomal RNA, 587 nt
Filed under: Ammonia sp. genotype T1
Lineage: Eukaryota; Foraminifera; Rotaliida; Rotaliidae
Description: bacterial SSU rRNA
Rfam family: Eukaryotic small subunit ribosomal RNA (bases 1-461)
Source: RNAcentral
GGGUCCGGACACACUGAGGAUUGACAGAUAUACGUCGUGCGUUGAGCUCUCUCGGGGGCCGAGCGCAUGACUGAAAGAUGCUAGUUCUUUCAUGAUUAUGUGAUAGGUGGUGCAUGGCCGUUCUUAGUUCGUGGAGUGAUCUGUCUGCUUAAUUGCGUAUCAUUAAAGAGACCUAGUAUACGCGUAAGAUAUCGUUUACGGUUCGUGACCCCCUUCGGGCGUGUGUCGCACGUACGUAUCAUACGCACUGGUCUCCGAUAGCAACGAACGUGACCGUACUCUAUUGUUGCAGCGAAUGUACGCACCUCGGUGUAUCUACCGCUGCUUAGUGCGUAUGCGUACUUCGGUGCGUGUCGCACAUUAAACUAUAGAGACCGCUGUCUUUUCUUUAAACCAGAGGAAGGAUACGGCAAUAACAGGUCUGUGAUGCCCUCAGAUGUUCCGGGCUGCACACGUGCUACAAUGAUCAUUGCACUGUGGGUCUAACCCAAUGUGCGUGGACGCCACGGUGUUUUGCGUUUCGGCGUAUAUUCAUCAGUUGGUCGACCACGCCGAACCUACUUCGAAAGUAAAAUUUUUAAGUGGGU